CGCUGACGUCACAGGAACAGACGCUUUAACGGAGCACUCGGGAAUUGAAACAGCGCCGUUUAACGGAAGCCAGAGACGGCACAAGCAAAGACUAUGUCUCAAUGACAACAAAGAGCUGUGCCAAAGAUGACAAAAAACGCUGCAUUAGACAUGGCAGGCCAGUAGAUGUCGAUGUGUCAGGAUACACACAUUGGAAGUGAGAUUUCACACUUAAGGAGCAAGAGUCUACUC
Misgurnus anguillicaudatus (oriental weatherfish) is the source of this 231-nucleotide non-coding RNA. The record is from RefSeq and is a predicted model, not a curated record. NCBI's taxonomy places the organism in Eukaryota, Metazoa, Chordata, Actinopteri, Cypriniformes, Cobitidae.